AGCGAACGUUUGCGGCGGGCCUAACACAUGCAAGUCGAACGCACUAGCAAUAGUGAGUGGCGCACGGGUGCGUAACACGUGGGUAAUCAACCCUUCAGCCUGGGAUAACGACUCGAAAGGGUCGCUAAUACCGGAUACGGCGCGAGAGGCUUCGGCUUCUCACGAGAAAGCCACGCAAGGGGCACUGAAGGACGAGCCUGCGGCCCAUCAGCUAGUUGGUGAGGUAAGAGCUCACCAAGGCUAAGACGGGUAGCUGGUCUGAGAGGAUGAUCAGCCACACUGGAACUGAGACACGGUCCAGACUCCUACGGGAGGCAGCAGUGGGGAAUAUUGCGCAAUGGGCGAAAGCCUGACGCAGCCACGCCGCGUGAGCGAUGAAGGCCUUCGGUCGUAAGACUCUGUGGGAGAGAAGAAUAAAGACCUGUGAAGAAUAGGGCCGUUGACGGUAGUACUCCUUAGUCAAGCACCGGCUAACUCCGUGCCA
This 484-nucleotide ribosomal RNA is filed under the name uncultured bacterium. Its description in RNAcentral is "bacterial SSU rRNA". It matches the Rfam family "Bacterial small subunit ribosomal RNA", at positions 29 to 510 of the family's 1533-position model. The record is from RNAcentral.